Molecule: microRNA, 21 nt
Filed under: Rosa chinensis
Lineage: Eukaryota; Viridiplantae; Streptophyta; Magnoliopsida; Rosales; Rosaceae
Also listed under: 1 other name
Description: sRNA RchiOBHm_Chr5g0026525
Source: RNAcentral
UGGGAUUUGGCGAAUUGUGGU